GUUUAGCAAAAACACAGGUCUCUGCUAAAGCGUAAGCUGAUGUAUAGGGGCUGACGCCUGCCCGGUGCUGGAAGGUUAAGGGGAACACUUAGCGCAAGCGAAGGUGUGAACUUAAGCCCCAGUAAACGGCGGCCGUAACUAUAACGGUCCUAAGGUAGCGAAAUUCCUUGUCAGGUAAGUUCUGACCCGCACGAAUGGCGUAAUGACUUGGGCACUGUCUCAACUGUAAAUCCGGCGAAGUUGUAGUGCGAGUGAAGAUGCUCGCUACCCGCGAUUGGACGGAAAGACCCCGUAGAGCUUUACUGUAGCUUAGCAUUGAGUUUUGGUAUUGUCUGUACAGGAUAGGUGGGAGACUAGGAAACCAGGG
Molecule: ribosomal RNA, 367 nt
Filed under: Clostridium perfringens
Lineage: Bacteria; Bacillati; Bacillota; Clostridia; Eubacteriales; Clostridiaceae
Description: partial 23S ribosomal RNA
Rfam family: Bacterial large subunit ribosomal RNA
Source: RNAcentral